Molecule: non-coding RNA, 73 nt
Organism: Phytophthora sojae
Lineage: Eukaryota; Oomycota; Peronosporomycetes; Peronosporales; Peronosporaceae
Source: the annotation of a RefSeq genome assembly
ACCCAUGGAGCUCGUGAGGUAGAGCUCCAGGCCUUCGGGCCUGGAGGAUCGGGUUCAAACCCCGACAUGGGCA